RNAcentral lists this ribosomal RNA (253 nucleotides) under uncultured bacterium. RNAcentral describes it as "partial 16S ribosomal RNA". It matches the Rfam family "Bacterial small subunit ribosomal RNA", at positions 524 to 776 of the family's 1533-position model. The record is from RNAcentral.
UACGGAGGGUGCGAACGUUAAUCGGAAUUACUGGGCGUAAAGCGCGCGUAGGCGGUUCGGCAAGUGGGAUGUGAAAGCCCCGGGCUUAACCUGGGAAUUGCGUUCCAAACUACCGGGCUAGAGUAUGGUAGAGGGAGGUAGAAUUUCCUGUGUAGCGGUGAAAUGCGUAGAUAUAGGAAGGAAUACCGGUGGCGAAGGCGGCCUCCUGGACCAAUACUGACGCUGAGGUGCGAAAGCGUGGGGAGCAAACAGG